UACGUAGGGUGCAAGCGUUAAUCGGAAUUACUGGGCGUAAAGCGUGCGCAGGCGGUGAUGUAAGACAGAUGUGAAAUCCCCGGGCUCAACCUGGGAACUGCAUUUGUGACUGCAUCGCUGGAGUGCGGCAGAGGGGGAUGGAAUUCCGCGUGUAGCAGUGAAAUGCGUAGUUAUGCGGAGGAACACCGAUGGCGAAGGCAAUCCCCUGGGCCUGCACUGACGCUCAUGCACGAAAGCGUGGGGAGCGAACAGG
This 253-nucleotide ribosomal RNA is filed under the name uncultured bacterium. Its description in RNAcentral is "partial 16S ribosomal RNA". It matches the Rfam family "Bacterial small subunit ribosomal RNA", at positions 524 to 776 of the family's 1533-position model. The record is from RNAcentral.